Non-coding RNA from Lolium perenne, 517 nucleotides. The record is from RefSeq and is a predicted model, not a curated record. Lineage: Eukaryota; Viridiplantae; Streptophyta; Magnoliopsida; Poales; Poaceae.
CAUAUGGAGGCCUUCUGAAAUUGCAUGGAUCAACUAAAUGAACCAAUGGCCGGAAAAAUAACUCCGAUUGGAUUAUACUGGGCAAGAUGGAGCCGAGCUUGAUGGAGGUGAAAGCCGCGAAACUAGUAUUCCCCCAGGACAACCCGCUUCUUUCCACAUUUCUGCUGCUAACAUUCGGGUGUUUCCAUAACCAUUGAUCCCUGCCUUACCUCAGGUUCAUUGCCUACAGUACACUUGGGUUCUAGGAGACUUCGGUGUUGGAGUGGCAGCUUGGGCUGUAGCAACUUGGCUCCUUGUGAUAUGUCCAGGGAUGCUAGUUGUGGCAGCUUGGCUCCUUGUGACAGGUCCAGGGCUGCCCUUGGUAGGUGUACAUGGAAUUGCAUUACUAACUGAAACAUCAAACCAUGGCGAUGGAUUCUUUUUGCCCCUACUUUACCUACAUGAAGAAAUAAUUAGAAUUAUAAACAUGCAAGGGAAAAAGUCAUAUCAUUAGAACAGUUUGACAAACUACACAAAG